GACGAACGCUGGCGGCGUGCUUAACACAUGCAAGUCGAACGGUGAAGGGGUCUGCUUUUGUGGGCCCUGGAUGAGUGGCGAACGGGUGAGUAACACGUGAGUAACCUGCCCCCUUCUUCUGGAUAACCGCAUGAAAGUGUGGCUAAUACGGGAUAUUCUGGGUCUGUCGCAUGAUGGGUCUGGGAAAGAUUGCGCCUUUGGGUGUUUUUGGUGGGGGAUGGGCUCGCGGCCUAUCAGCUUGUUGGUGGGGUGAUGGCCUACCAAGGCGGUGACGGGUAGCCGGCCUGAGGGGGUGGACGGUCACACUGGGACUGAGACACGGCCCAGACUCCUACGGGAGGCAGCAGUGGGGAAUAUUGCACAAUGGGCGCAAGCCUGAUGCAGCGACGCCGCGUGAGGGAUGGAGGCCUUCGGGUUGUAAACCUCUUUCGCCAGUGAAGCAGGCCUGCUCCUUGUGGGUGGGUUGACGGUAGCUGGAGAAGAAGCGCCGGCUAACUACGUG
Molecule: ribosomal RNA, 502 nt
Filed under: uncultured bacterium
Lineage: Bacteria
Description: partial 16S ribosomal RNA
Rfam family: Bacterial small subunit ribosomal RNA
Source: RNAcentral